Long non-coding RNA from Monodelphis domestica (gray short-tailed opossum), 1571 nucleotides. The record is from Ensembl. Lineage: Eukaryota; Metazoa; Chordata; Mammalia; Didelphimorphia; Didelphidae.
CCUUUACCUUCCGUCUUGGAAUCAAUACUGUAUAUUGGCUCCAAGGCAGAAGAAUGGUAAGGGCUAGGCAAUGGGGGUCAAGUGACUUGCCCAGGGUCACACAGCUAGGAAGUAUCUGAGACCGUAUUUGAACCUAGAACCUCCCAUCUCUAGGCCUGGCUCUCAACCACUGAUCUACCCAGCUGCACCCUGGUUAUAGCAUUUUUAAAAGAACAAAAUAGAAACAUUGCAAUGAAGCAGAUAUUUAUCUGAAAGUUAAAUUUUCCCUUAGCAGUCUUUGCUCAGAGUCCUUAGCCAACCACUGCUCUAGACGUUAGAGCUAGCAGUCCCUCUGACACAAGUUUCCAAUUUCCCAGAAGAGUGUCAUUAUAAUAAUUAUUCCAGAGAGUUUUCACAUCAGCAGAGAAUAAACUUAUGAAAUCUAUGACAUUGUUAAAUUUCCAUCUGUUCCAGGAGCUGUUGACGAUACACAUGAGGUUAUUCAGGCACUGUUUCAAAAUGAUGUGAGUUGGAGGACCCAUAAAUCAUGUUGCUGCCUCACGACACAAGGUAUAUAUGGUGCCAGGUGCAGCAUAACAGAUGUAGCCUCCAAUUUACCAGGAUCAUGUCACAAUUCAUUCACAUUAUGGCAGUCUGGAGUUAGAAAUCUGCUGGAAAUGCGACAAACAUAUGCCAGGUGGCUGCUGGGAAUAUCAUUUUGGCAGCUUUGCAGUAGAUGGAUUGGGAAGAAGAACAAGCUAGAAGCAAUCAGCUGAAAAAAGGUGAGAUGUAGACAGUCAGCACAGAUUCAGGGAAGUGUGCAGUCCCUAAUAGAGUUUUGGGGAGACAAACUCUACAAGAUUCAAGAUUUGAAUAGGGAGGAGGAUAUUGACUUCUGAGGAGAAGAUAGGGGAUAUAAUAGAGGAACAUUUAAUAUAGCAUGUGUAAGGGGUAGUAGGUGAGUGACCUGACAGUUCUCCUUCAAAAGGAGAGAGAUUGAAAGGACAUUAGGGCUGGGUUGUGAAGGGUCAUAACCAUUGAAUGGGGCAGUAUGAUGCAUUUUCUACAGGAGACUGAAAUGAUGAAAUAUUUAUGAAAUAUAUAUUUUAAGAAGAUUAGUCUGAGCAAGAUGAUCAGUGAGCUUAUUCUUUGAACUUGCAUUCUACUUAGAGUCUGCACAUAGCACUCAGAAAUCACUGUAAGAUGGAAGAUAAACUGGAAAGGGAAAGAGUGAGAGGAGACCAAUGAGGAAGAGUUUAUAGUAAUUCAAGAUAGAAUGUGAGGAGGGAGACGAUAAGGUUGUGCCCAUGAAAAUAGAGAGGAAGGUUUAAGUGAGAAACAUUUCAAAGGGAAAAUACACAAGAUUUCAUGACAGAUUGGCUAUGGAGUAGAGAGUAAAGGAGAGGGACACGAUUUCCAACUCUGGAGACUUAGAAUAUGAAGAAUUAUUUUAUAGAGAAAGGGUUAAGGGGUCUCCCUUUCUGUGAACAUAAAACAGGAAGGAUUUAUUUUUGAAUGAAAUAAUUAAAAUUUAGGUUAAGUAUAAAGGACAUUUUCUGAUAUAAAAGGUUAGAAAAAUGACUUGAACAGGA